CGGGGUGUAGCGCAGCUUGGCAGCGCGCUUCGUUCGGGACGAAGAGGUCGUGGGUUCAAAUCCCGCCACCCCGACCC
Molecule: transfer RNA, 77 nt
Filed under: Nonomuraea sp. KC401
Lineage: Bacteria; Bacillati; Actinomycetota; Actinomycetes; Streptosporangiales; Streptosporangiaceae
Description: tRNA-Pro
Rfam family: tRNA
About the family: Transfer RNA (tRNA) molecules are approximately 80 nucleotides in length. Their secondary structure includes four short double-helical elements and three loops (D, anti-codon, and T loops).
Source: RNAcentral